Molecule: ribosomal RNA, 496 nt
Filed under: uncultured bacterium
Lineage: Bacteria
Description: partial 16S ribosomal RNA
Rfam family: Bacterial small subunit ribosomal RNA
Source: RNAcentral
AUGAACGCUGGCGGCGUGCCUAAUACAUGCAAGUCGAGCGAACAGACGAGGAGCUUGCUCCUCUGACGUUAGCGGCGGGCGGGAGAGUAACACGUGGAUAACCUACCUAUAAGACUGGGAUAACUUCGGGAAACCGGAGCUAAUACCGGAUAAUAUAUUGAACCGCAUGGUUCAAUAGUGAAAGACGGUUUUGCUGUCACUUAUAGAUGGAUCCGCGCCGCAUUAGCUAGUUGGUAAGGUAACGGCUUACCAAGGCAACGAUGCGUAGCCGACCUGAGAGGGUGAUCGGCCACACUGGAACUGAGACACGGUCCAGACUCCUACGGGAGGCAGCAGUAGGGAAUCUUCCGCAAUGGGCGAAAGCUUGACGGAGCAACGCCGCGUGAGUGAUGAAGGUCUUCGGAUCGUAAAACUCUGUUAUUAGGGAAGAACAAAUGUGUAAGUAACUAUGCACGUCUUGACGGUACCUAAUCAGAAAGCCACGGCUAACUACGUG